Molecule: ribosomal RNA, 482 nt
Filed under: uncultured bacterium
Lineage: Bacteria
Description: partial 16S ribosomal RNA
Rfam family: Bacterial small subunit ribosomal RNA
Source: RNAcentral
AUUGAACGCUGGCGGCAUGCCUUACACAUGCAAGUCGAACGGUAACGGGCCUUCGGGUGCCGACGAGUGGCGAACGGGUGAGUAAUACACCGGAACGUGCCCGAUCGUGGGGGAUAACGAGGCGAAAGCUUUGCUAAUACCGCAUACGAGCUACGGAUGAAAGCAGGGGACCGCAAGGCCUUGCGCGGACGGAGCGGCCGAUGGCAGAUUAGGUAGGUGGUGGGAUAAAAGCUUACCAAGCCGACGAUCUGUAGCUGGUCUGAGAGGAUGAUCAGCCACACUGGGACUGAGACACGGCCCAGACUCCUACGGGAGGCAGCAGUGGGGAAUUUUGGACAAUGGGCGCAAGCCUGAUCCAGCCAUGCCGCGUGCAGGAAGAAGGCCUUCGGGUUGUAAACUGCUUUUGUUCGGAACGAAAAGCCUUCUUUUAAUACAGGGGGGUCAUGACGGUACCGGAAGAAUAAGCACCGGCUAACUACGUG